This 867-nucleotide ribosomal RNA is filed under the name Lauroia trinidadensis. Its description in RNAcentral is "partial 16S ribosomal RNA". Lineage: Eukaryota; Metazoa; Nematoda; Chromadorea; Rhabditida; Aspidoderidae. The record is from RNAcentral.
CAUUUAAUAGAUUAUUCCAGGAGGAGUAUGGGUAUGUUGGAUUAGCUUGUAGUAUAUGAUAAAAUUCUUGUAUGAGGAGCAAGCGAAGCUGGAGCUUUAGGUUCUUCUCUGUUGGUUUUUAAGUGUUGCAUACUGUUGGGGGAUUUUUUUUAUGUUGAUGAUUAAUAGAAGUAGAAGGUGGAGAGAUAUUUGUUUUUGGUAUUGUAUACUAGGAAUUAUUGUUUUUUGUUUUGAUAUAACGUUUUCUAUGGUAUCUGUGUGUUGUUGGUGUUGUAGAAAAUUUUUGUUUUUGUGAUUGUGUGUGGAGUGAUAGGAUUUGUAGUUUUUGGUUUUUUAGUGUUAUGACUUUUUCUUAAGGUUGAGUUAGUUGGUUGGUGUUGAUAUUAAUUUUUUAAUAUUUUUAUAGUUUCUGAUUUAGUAGGUUUGUUGAAAUUUUGUUGGGGGUUUAGAAUUUAAUUUGAAUAAUUUGGUUUAUGAUCAAAUGUUUGUUAAAGACUUAGGUAUCCAUUUGGUACUGUCCUCUGCUCUAUGAGUAUUAAAUGGCCGCCUUAACGUGAGGGCAUAAAAGUAGCAAAAUAAUUUGUGUUUUUAAUGGAUUCGAGUAUGAAAGGGGGUUUGGUUGUUUUUGUUUUUUUUUUGUUUAGAAUUAUUGUUAUGUUUAAAAAUUAAUAUUUGGUAUUAAACAAAGAUAAGUCUUCGGAAAUUCUUUUAGUUAUUUAAUGGGGGUUGGAUAUCUAUGUUUUUUAGGGCAGAAUUUUGUAUAAGUUUUUUUACUAUUGUUAAUUUAUAGAGUUACUCCGGAGUUAACAGAAAAUCACAUUUCUUCUAGGUGUUAUAGAUAGAAAGAUUUUACAUCGAUAUAAUAUU